CGCCCGCCGCGCGCGGCGGGCUACGGGAGGCAGCAGUGGGGAAUCUUCCGCAAUGGACGAAAGUCUGACGGAGCAACGCCGCGUGAGUGAAGAAGGUUUUCGGAUCGUAAAGCUCUGUGUUUGAGACGAACGUGCGAUUUUGAAUAAGGAAUGUAAUGACGGUAUUAAACGAGAAAGCUACGGCUAACUACGUGCCAGCAGCCGCGGUAAUA
This 212-nucleotide ribosomal RNA is filed under the name uncultured Propionispira sp. RNAcentral's name for it is "partial 16S ribosomal RNA". It matches the Rfam family "Bacterial small subunit ribosomal RNA", at positions 309 to 525 of the family's 1533-position model. The record is from RNAcentral. Lineage: Bacteria; Bacillati; Bacillota; Negativicutes; Selenomonadales; Selenomonadaceae.